RNAcentral lists this long non-coding RNA (416 nucleotides) under Daucus carota (carrot). Its description in RNAcentral is "long non-coding RNA (DCAR_LNC005275)". The record is from RNAcentral. Lineage: Eukaryota; Viridiplantae; Streptophyta; Magnoliopsida; Apiales; Apiaceae.
UCUCCACCCAAGUGAAAUCUCUCGGGGAUACUUAACAUCCUACGAACAUCGUCGUCCGAUUUAACAGACUUCACAAAGAACCCCGAAACGAGGUUACUAACCCCGAUUCGAGGAUAUUUCACACUAAGCUUGACAUCCCAAUGAUGCCUACUUAUAUGCAUCAACCCGAACACCAUAUCUCGUAGUUCUUCAAGUGAGCUGCUCAAUUUCACAUACAUCAUUUCUUUCGGAUCUAAGGUGUAGAGAACAUCGUUAUCUUGUUUUAUGAUUUCACCUCCCCAGAAGAAAUUAACGUUUACGUAUCCGUCCAUCUUUGUUUUUGAAGUGUGUGUUUUUUUAUGAUUUUCGUGUUCGGCUAGGAUUUUCUCACAAGGCAGAUUGAUAAUAUGAGGGAGAGUUUGUAGUGUUUGUUUUUC